CAAUAGCGUAUAUUAAGGUUGUUGCAGUUAAAAAGCUCGUAGUUGAAUUUCUGUCAGGAGUGACCGGGCCUUUGGAUGAACUUCCAUUGUUUUUUGCUCUGUUUGUCGUCUCUAGACAUCCUGAAAUAUUUUUUAAAAAUAUUUCUCUUUUACUGUUAGCAAAAUAGAGUGUUCCAAGCAAAGCGUAGUUUUGAAUACAUUAGAAUGGAAUAAUAAGAUAGGACUUUGGUGCUAUUUUGUUGGUUUGCACACCAAGGUAAUGAUUAAUAGGGACAGGUGGGGGUAUUCGUAUUUAAUUGUCAGAGGUGAAAUUCUUGGAUUUAUGAAAGACGAACUACUGCGAAAGCAUUUACCAAGGAUGUUUUCAUUAA
This 371-nucleotide ribosomal RNA is filed under the name uncultured eukaryote. Its description in RNAcentral is "partial 18S ribosomal RNA". It matches the Rfam family "Eukaryotic small subunit ribosomal RNA", at positions 592 to 976 of the family's 1831-position model. The record is from RNAcentral.